Molecule: non-coding RNA, 569 nt
Organism: Capra hircus (goat)
Lineage: Eukaryota; Metazoa; Chordata; Mammalia; Artiodactyla; Bovidae
Source: Ensembl
CAUAGGUUUGGUCCCAGCCUUCCUGUUAACUCUCAACAGACUUACACAUGCAAGCAUCCACGCCCCGGUGAGUAACGCCCUCCAAAUCAAUAAGACUAAGAGGAGCAGGUAUCAAGCACACAUCUUGUAGCUUAUAACGCCUCGCUUAACCACACCCCUACGGGAGACAGCAGUGACAAAAAUUAAGCCAUAAACGAAAGUUUGACUAAGCCAUGUUGACCAGGGUUGGUAAAUCUCGUGCCAGCCACCGCGGUCAUACGAUUAACCCAAGCUAACAGGAAUACGGCGUAAAACGUGUUAAAGCACUACAUCAAAUAGAGUUAAAUUCUAAUUAAACUGUAAAAAGCCAUAAUUACAACAAAAAUAGAUGACGAAAGUAACCCUACUGCAGCUGAUACACUAUAGCUAAGACCCAAACUGGGAUUAGAUACCCCACUAUGCUUAGCCCUAAACACAAAUAAUUACAGAAACAAAAUUAUUCGCCAGAGUACUACCGGCAACAGCCCGAAACUCAAAGGACUUGGCGGUGCUUUAUACCCUUCUAGAGGAGCCUGUUCUAUAAUCGAUAA